RNAcentral lists this microRNA precursor (73 nucleotides) under Myotis davidii. RNAcentral describes it as "mir-9193 microRNA precursor family". It matches the Rfam family "mir-9193 microRNA precursor family". The record is from Rfam by way of RNAcentral. Lineage: Eukaryota; Metazoa; Chordata; Mammalia; Chiroptera; Vespertilionidae.
UUUGGGAGUGGGGUCCCUCAGCCCGGAUUGCGAGAGGGUGCAGGCCAGGCUGAGGGACCCCUACCAGUGCAUU